This 1400-nucleotide ribosomal RNA is filed under the name Leptopilina clavipes. RNAcentral describes it as "SSU rRNA". It matches the Rfam family "Eukaryotic small subunit ribosomal RNA", at positions 3 to 1338 of the family's 1831-position model. Lineage: Eukaryota; Metazoa; Arthropoda; Insecta; Hymenoptera; Figitidae. The record is from RNAcentral.
CCUGGUUGAUCCUGCCAGUAGUCAUAUGCUUGUCUCAAAGAUUAAGCCAUGCAUGUCUAAGUGCAUGCCAAAUUAAGGUGAAACCGCGAAUGGCUCAUUAAAUCAGUUAUGGUUCCUUAGAUCGUACCCACAUUUACUUGGAUAACUGUGGUAAUUCUAGAGCUAAUACAUGCAAACCAGAGUUCCGACCAGAGAUGGAAGGAACGCUUUUAUUAGAUCAAAACCAAUCGGUGGCGGGCUUUGCUCGUCCACCGUUUACUUUGGUGACUCUGAAUAACUUUGUGCUGAUCGCACGGUCUCGUACCGGCGACGCAUCUUUCAAAUGUCUGCCUUAUCAACUGUCGAUGGUAGGUUCUGCGCCUACCAUGGUUGUAACGGGUAACGGGGAAUCAGGGUUCGAUUCCGGAGAGGGAGCCUGAGAAACGGCUACCACAUCCAAGGAAGGCAGCAGGCGCGCAAAUUCCCCACUCCCGGCACGGGGAGGUAGUGACGAAAAAUAACGAUACGGGACUCAUCCGAGGCCCCGUAAUCGGAAUGAGUACACUUUAAAUCCUUUAACGAGGAUCAAUUGGAGGGCAAGUCUGGUGCCAGCAGCCGCGGUAAUUCCAGCUCCAAUAGCGUAUAUUAAAGUUGUUGCGGUUAAAAAGCUCGUAGUUGAAUCUGUGUCGCACGCUGUCGGUUCGCCGCUCGCGGUGUUUAACUGACAUGCUCGUGAGACGUCCUACCGGUGGGCUUAGCUCCUUCGGGGGCGGUCCAACUAAUAUCCCAUCGCGGUGCUCUUUAUUGAGUGUCGAGGUGGGCCGGUACGUUUACUUUGAACAAAUUAGAGUGCUUAAAGCAGGCUAUCAUUUGCCUGAAUAUUCUGUGCAUGGAAUAAUGGAAUAGGACCUCGGUUCUAUUUUGUUGGUUUUAAGAAACCCGAGGUAAUGAUUAAUAGGGACAGAUGGGGGCAUUCGUAUUGCGACGUUAGAGGUGAAAUUCUUGGAUCGUCGCAAGACGGACAGAAGCGAAAGCAUUUGCCAAAAAUGUUUUCAUUAAUCAAGAACGAAAGUUAGAGGUUCGAAGGCGAUCAGAUACCGCCCUAGUUCUAACCAUAAACGAUGCCAGCUAGCGAUCCGCCGAAGUUCCUCCGAUGACUCGGCGGGCAGCUUCCGGGGAACCAAAGCUUUUGGGUUCCGGGGGAAGUAUGGUUGCAAAGCUGAAACUUAAAGGAAUUGACGGAAGGGCACCACCAGGAGUGGAGCCUGCGGCUUAAUUUGACUCAACACGGGAAACCUCACCAGGCCCGGACACCGGAAGGAUUGACAGAUUGAGAGCUCUUUCUUGAUUCGGUGGGUGGUGGUGCAUGGCCGUUCUUAGUUGGUGGAGCGAUUUGUCUGGUUAAUUCCGAUAACGAACGA